RNAcentral lists this unclassified non-coding RNA (241 nucleotides) under plant metagenome. RNAcentral's name for it is "partial contains small subunit ribosomal RNA, internal transcribed spacer 1, and 5.8S ribosomal RNA". The record is from RNAcentral.
UCUCCGUUGGUGAACCAGCGGAGGGAUCAUUACCGAGUUUUCUACUCCCGAACCCCUGUGAACUUAUACCUUUACCGUUGCUUCGGCGGGUUAACGCCCCGGAAAGGCCCCCGAAAGGGAGCCGCCCCGGAACCAGGCGCCCGCCGGGGGACCCAAACUCUUGUAUUUUCUUACCUAGCAUGUCUGAGUGGAAUCAUAAACAAAUGAAUCAAAACUUUCAACAACGGAUCUCUUGGUUCUG